This 336-nucleotide long non-coding RNA is filed under the name Androctonus crassicauda. The record is from RNAcentral. Lineage: Eukaryota; Metazoa; Arthropoda; Arachnida; Scorpiones; Buthidae.
UUAUUAGCCGUUCAUAUUAAUUAAGGCUGUGUUCGAAGUACUGGUAAAGCGUACUUCGCGGACCAGUUUGAUGACUUCGCUGGAAGUUUCACCAUAUUCAGACCUGUUUGAAGUAUCUAGACUUCUACUCCAAGUGGUCCACAGAGGUCGCUUCGACGAAGACCACAUUGAUGUGGUAUACCUACAAGGUCUACUAGUCCAAAGAUGGAUGACAACAGUCUAUCGCCAAAUAGUCAGGAAUAUAAAAAAGCAUCUAAAUGUUCAUAACAAGAGUGCUUAAAGCCGUUCGAACUUCUCUCUCUACAAAGAAUACUUAGCUCGAGAGUACUACAACUU